Molecule: ribosomal RNA, 388 nt
Filed under: uncultured eukaryote
Lineage: Eukaryota
Description: SSU rRNA
Rfam family: Eukaryotic small subunit ribosomal RNA
Source: RNAcentral
CCAGCAGCCGCGGUAAUUCCAGCUCCAAUAGCGUAUAUUAAAGUUGUUGCAGUUAAAAAGCUCGUAGUUGAACCUCUGUGGAUGUCUAGUUUUGGCUUCGCGUCAGGCUACGGCCGUCCACAUCCGCUUGCGAGCCUAGACCGGCCUUCACUGGUCGACUAGGGGAGUAGGCCCUUUACUUUGAAAAAAUUAGAGUGUUUCAGGCAGGCAAUGGCUUGAAUACAUUAGCAUGGAAUAAUAGAACAGGACUUUUGUCCAUUUGGUUGGUUAUUGGACAUUAGUAAUGAUUAAAAGGGACAGUUGGGGGCAUUAGUAUUUAAUUGUCAGAGGUGAAAUUCUUGGAUUUAUUAAAGACUAACUUAUGCGAAAGCAUUUGCCAAGGAUGUUU